Long non-coding RNA from Brassica oleracea var. oleracea, 993 nucleotides. RefSeq lists it as uncharacterized. The transcript has 4 exons. The record is from RefSeq and is a predicted model, not a curated record. Lineage: Eukaryota; Viridiplantae; Streptophyta; Magnoliopsida; Brassicales; Brassicaceae.
GUAAAGUUUGUCCUCUUCAUUCAACCUUCUCAUUAAGCAUCUCCAUUUACUCUCUCCGCCAUCUCUCCCACUACGUUCAAUUUAAUGACCCUUUCCAAACUCACUCUUGAAAUCCCCAAUUUCUGAGAUUAUAAAUAAGUGAUAUUGUAGACGUCUAAAAAGUGUGUUCCAACUUCCUCCGAGAUCCAUCACUUGAUUUUAAAUACUUUUUGAAAACUUGGACUCGUAAUUUAGCUAUUUGAGCAAAAAGAUAUGAAGACUGAAGAAAUAAUUAACGUAAAUCAUCUAAUAUUUUCUUGCACCACGCAUUUAUUGCUAAUAGAGCUAUAUUCAUGUUCUUGUCUUUGUGCUUCUUCUGUACGUUGAUCCAGAGUACAAAGACUAUGGAGGUCAUGAUGCACACAGAAGAGACAUAGAUGGUGCUUUUGAUAUUUUCCAGUUGGCUACGUUGAGGCAUAAGGUUGAUAGAGAGACCGGCGAUUCCAUGAAUCCGAUAGAAACAAAGCCAGCGGACAACAACAGCAGUCCCUGGAGUCCAAUGCCCACAAAUGGGAAACGAGAUGGAACAGACAAACGGAGGCUAGAUUUAAAUGCAAACAUCAAACUAAUACAGCCUAAAAAACAGAUCAAAAGAACCCAGAAAUUAAAGAGCAAAUUGCAUGAGGACCUCAAACUCCUUAGAUGAAACAAAUCGAACAGGCCAUAAAAGCCAAAUCAACAACUUGCGAUACCUCCCACAGUGAAUAGCUCAGACGAAAUAAGAACACAUGCUUCGAAGACCAGCAAGACAGAUCACUCAGGACAUAAGUCUUGAACCGGAAGGCGACGUCGAAGAAGGACCGACGGAAACGCCAAAUUGAAGCACGACAAGAGAAUAGAUCUCGAUCGGAUCUUUUGGGUUGAAGACAGGGAGCGCACCAGUCAACUCUGGCUUAAACCUCACUCGGAUAUCCGAGAAGGAAGAAGAUCGAUACCAGAGAAGAUCAAGGAGGG